This 464-nucleotide ribosomal RNA is filed under the name uncultured bacterium. RNAcentral's name for it is "bacterial SSU rRNA". It matches the Rfam family "Bacterial small subunit ribosomal RNA", at positions 28 to 522 of the family's 1533-position model. The record is from RNAcentral.
AACGAACGCUGGCGGCAGGCUUAACACAUGCAAGUCGAGCGCGGUCUUUCGGGACUGAGCGGCGGACGGGUGAGUAACGCGUGGGAACGUGCCCUUCUCUCUGGAAUAGCCCUGGGAAACCGGGAGUAAUGCCGGAUACGCCCGAUGGCAGCGAUGUCGUGGGGGAAAGAUUUAUCGGGGAAGGAUCGGCCCGCGUCGGAUUAGGUAGUUGGUGGGGUAACGGCCUACCAAGCCGACGAUCCGUAGCUGGUUUGAGAGGAUGACCAGCCACACUGGGACUGAGACACGGCCCAGACUCCUACGGGAGGCAGCAGUGGGGAAUCUUGGACAAUGGGGGCAACCCUGAUCCAGCCAUGCCGCGUGAGCGAUGAAGGCCUUAGGGUUGUAAAGCUCUUUCAGCGGGGAAGAUAAUGACGGUACCCGCAGAAGAAGCCCCGGCUAACUCCGUGCCAGCAGCCGCCGUA